GCCCCCGUAGCUCAAUGGUCAGAGCGCACGGUUUCUACCCGUUAGAUGUGGGUUCGAUUCCUACCGGGGGCA
Molecule: transfer RNA, 72 nt
Filed under: bacterium
Lineage: Bacteria
Description: tRNA-Arg
Rfam family: tRNA
About the family: Transfer RNA (tRNA) molecules are approximately 80 nucleotides in length. Their secondary structure includes four short double-helical elements and three loops (D, anti-codon, and T loops). Further hydrogen bonds mediate the characteristic L-shaped molecular structure. tRNAs have two regions of fundamental functional importance: the anti-codon, which is responsible for specific mRNA codon recognition, and the 3' end, to which the tRNAs corresponding amino acid is attached (by aminoacyl-tRNA synthetases). tRNAs cope with the degeneracy of the genetic code in two manners: having more than one tRNA (with a specific anti-codon) for a particular amino acid; and 'wobble' base-pairing, i.e. permitting non-standard base-pairing at the 3rd anti-codon position.
Source: RNAcentral